This 292-nucleotide ribosomal RNA is filed under the name uncultured bacterium. Its description in RNAcentral is "partial 16S ribosomal RNA". The record is from RNAcentral.
GGACUACCGGGGUUUCUAAUCCUGUUUGCUACCCACGCUUUCGCGCCUCAGCGUCAGUAUCAGUCCAGAUAGCCGCCUUCGCCACUGAUGUUCCUUCCGAUCUCUACGCAUUUCACCGCUACACCGGAAAUUCCACUAUCCUCUACUGUACUCUAGCUCUUCAGUUUCACGUGCAGUUCCCAGGUUAAGCCCGGGGAUUUCACACACGACUUAUAGUGCCGCCUACGCGCCCUUUACGCCCAGUAAUUCCGAUUAACGCUUGCACCCUCUGUCUUACCGCGGCUGCUGGCAC